AGAGUUGAUCAUGGCUCAGGAGUGAACGCUAGCGACAGGCUUAACACAUGCAAGUCGAGGGGCAGCAUAAAAGUAGCAAUACUUGGUGGCGACCGGCGCACGGGUGAGUAACGCGUAUGCAACCUACCUAUCAGAGGGGAAUAACCCGGCGAAAGUCGGACUAAUACCGCAUAAAACAGGGGCACCGCAUGGUGAUAUUUGUUAAAGAAAUUCGCUGAUAGAUGGGCAUGCGUUCCAUUAGGUAGUUGGUGAGGUAACGGCUCACCAAGCCGACGAUGGAUAGGGGAACUGAGAGGUUGGUCCCCCACACUGGUACUGAGACACGGACCAGACUCCUACGGGAGGCAGCAGUGAGGAAUAUUGGUCAAUGGGCGGGAGCCUGAACCAGCCAAGUCGCCGUGAAGGAAGAAGGAUCUAUGGUUCGUAACUUCUUUUGCAGGGGAAUAAAGUGCAGGACGUGUCCUGUUUUGUAUGUACCCUGAGAAUAAGGAUCGGCUAACUCCGUGCCAGCCGCCGC
Molecule: ribosomal RNA, 517 nt
Filed under: uncultured bacterium
Lineage: Bacteria
Description: bacterial SSU rRNA
Rfam family: Bacterial small subunit ribosomal RNA
Source: RNAcentral